Long non-coding RNA from Etheostoma spectabile (orangethroat darter), 107 nucleotides. RefSeq lists it as uncharacterized. NCBI's taxonomy places the organism in Eukaryota, Metazoa, Chordata, Actinopteri, Perciformes, Percidae. The transcript is spliced from 3 exons. The record is from RefSeq and is a predicted model, not a curated record.
ACACAAAUCUGUGGUCACUUUAAAGGCAGGGUUGGUAAUGUUAAAAAGCUAGCAAGAUUUGAAAAUAGCAUCUACUUAGGGCUCCGUCUAACCCCUCGACCUUCCCU